Molecule: long non-coding RNA, 1220 nt
Organism: Salvelinus sp. IW2-2015
Lineage: Eukaryota; Metazoa; Chordata; Actinopteri; Salmoniformes; Salmonidae
Source: RefSeq, a predicted model, not a curated record
AAGUAUGUGAAUUUUCCUGUCCUGCUAAGCAUUCAAAAUGAAUCUUCUAGUUUGGGUGGAAGGAUAGAGGUAACAACGGGAAGGAGUACAGAAGUUAUCCAGGCUGCUGACUAAGAAAUUUCCACUACUGCAGUGCUUGGCCACCCACUCAGUUACUAGUGACCUAUUCUGCCACAUCCCAGGGAAUGGAGAGAGCAGAACCACCAUUCCUUAAAUCCAUAAUCAUUGACAAUCGGACCUAUCACAUGACUCUUCGAGAAGGCCACUACUCUCCAGAUCACCUUCUGUGCUCUGAGGUCCUUGAUGAGGAUCUACCCCAUCACAACCCUCUUAUUAAUCAUAAUCAAAUAAAACAAUCAGCCUUUAUAUACUCCCAGUAUUUCUAUGCAUUAUGAAACAAUUACUGUAUGCAGAUUGUGAUUUACAUUUGUUUUUACCAUCGCUUGAUCUAUUUUAAAUGUAAGAAUAUGUUGCAGAUUAACUUUAAUCGGUAACUAUGGAAUCCAUUAGAAAUGUAACGAACAACAUAUUCAAUAUCAAGCUUUAUCCCCUGCAAUACUUUUUACAGUACACUCUUAGAAAAAAAGGUGCUAUCUAGAACCUAAAAGGGCUAUUCGGGCUGUCCCCAUAGGAGAACCCCUUCGGUUUCAGGUAGAUCCCUUUAGCGUUCUAUGUAGGAUCCUUUCCUGGAACCCUUUUUUCUAAGUGUGUAGGUAACAAGCUGUAGUCAGAUGGCCAUUACCAGGUUAUGAUGAGGUCUUACUAUGACAAGUAGGCUACAUAAUAUAGUGGUCAGAAUUAUGACCAGCUGGUCAGAUAGAGGUCACAAUUGCCCUCAUUGCCUUCAUUGUUUUCAUUACAUGACAAUAACUCUGGACAUGUGUGCGUUUCUAUCAAAGUAAAUGCCUUACUAGGUUCUCAAAAGUUUCUGUAUGUCGUUUCUACUGUAGCUCACUAUGUACGGAGCAUCAUAUAUUUGUGUGUAUUCCUUAUAACCACGGACAUAACUCUUAUGGUGUUAUACUCAGUUGUGCUUAUGUAGCUAGCUACAUUCUUCUAUUAAUGUAGCUCUGUAAAAUAAUGCUAAUGGUGUCAGGAUUAGCUUGUGUUGUCUUUUGAAGCUGCCCUGGUCUUAUGACCAUGGUCUGUGUUUUCAUUUGACCUGUUUAGCAUAGCUCUGCUUUGCCUUGCCCUGUCCCCUUGUAGAGCUUUCAUUUUGU